CUCAUCGAAAAGAUGGUUGAUAACCUCUCCACCUUCCUUCGUACUCCGUAGAGCGAAUCGACUUUUCUUCUUCUUCUUUUCCUUAGGUCUCUAAACCUAUCUAAUUUUUUUCUCUAAUUUUUUUUAGUCUUUCCACUGAUUUUUUCUUCUCCCAAGACUUAUUCUCGGACCCUUUAUUUAUAGGUGAAUGCUUAGACCACCCA
RNAcentral lists this long non-coding RNA (203 nucleotides) under Elaeis guineensis (African oil palm). RNAcentral describes it as "long non-coding RNA (EGUI_LNC007979)". The record is from RNAcentral. Lineage: Eukaryota; Viridiplantae; Streptophyta; Magnoliopsida; Arecales; Arecaceae.